AAUUCGUUGCUACACGAAGAACCUUACCCGGGUUGACAUAUAGGUUGUAGGGAACUGAAAAGGACCGACCUUCGGGAGCCUAUACAGGUGUUGCAUGGCUGUCGUCAGCUCGUGUCGUGAGAUGUUCGGUUAAGUCCGCUAACGAGCGCAACCCUCGUCGUAUGUUAUAUGUGUCAUACGAGACUGCCGGUAAAAGCCGGAGGAAGGUGAGGAUGAUGUCAAGUCAGCAUGACCUUUAUAUCCAGGGCUACACACACGCUACAAUGGUCUGUACAAUGGGUAGCCAAGCCGCGAGGCGGAGCCAAUCCUGAAAGCAGGCCUCAGUUCAGAUUGCAGUCUGCAACUCGACUGCAUGAAGCCGGAGUUGCUAGUAACCGCAGGUCAGCAAUACUGCGGUGAAUACGUUCCCGGGUCUU
Molecule: ribosomal RNA, 416 nt
Filed under: uncultured Anaerolineaceae bacterium
Lineage: Bacteria; Bacillati; Chloroflexota; Anaerolineae; Anaerolineales; Anaerolineaceae
Description: bacterial SSU rRNA
Rfam family: Bacterial small subunit ribosomal RNA
Source: RNAcentral